UUCUGCAGUGGACGAAGGGAAAAGUACCCUUCCCUGUGUUCAACAACUGAAAUUCAGGGUGCACAAGGCUGGCAUCAGAAAUCCACAGAUGGAUGGUACCAAACAAGGAGCAAUUCUUUAUCAGAUACCAUCCAUUUUGCAGGACAAGCUGCAUGGAUAAGAUGACAAGCUGCAGGAGGCAGGGGAGAGUCCAGGGACUGCAGUGGGGAGCUGCAGGAGGCAGGAGAGAGUCCAGGGACUGCAGUGGGGAGCUGCAGGAGGCAGGAGAGAGUCCAGGGACUGCAGUGGGGAGCUGCAGGAGGCAGGAGAGAGUCCAGGGACUGCAGUGGGGAGCUGCAGGAGGCAGGAGAGAGUCCAGGAGCUGCAGUGGGGAGCUGCAGGAGGCAGGAGAGAGUCCAGGGACUGCAGUGGGGAGCUGCAGGAGGCAGGGGAGAGUCCAGGGACUGCAGUGGGGAGCUGCAGGUGUCAGGAGAGAGUCCAGGGACUGCAGUGGGGAGCUGCAGGAGGCAGGGGAGAGUCCAGGAGCUGCAGUGGGGAGCUGCAGGAGUCAGGGGAGAGUCCAGGGACUGCAGUGGGGAGCUGCAGGUGUCAGGAGAGAGUCCAGGGACUGCAGUAGGGAGCUGCAGGAGUCAGGGGAGAGUCCAGGGACUGCAGUGGGGAGCUGCAGGAGUCAGGGGAGAGUCCAGGGACUGCAGUGGGGAGCUACAGGAGGCAGGAGAGAGUCCAGGGGCUACAGUACUUUAGCAAAAUAAUGAACAUCCCAGGACUGAGACCUUCUGAAUAUUGAGGUCAGAUCCUGUUUCCACUCAGUGAAUAUGGCUGAUUUGUUUAGCUUCUUUGAUCUUCCUCCAUAAAAGAGACCAUCAUUGUGUAUUUUCUAAAAACACUGACAGAGUCUUGAACUCCUGAUUCUCUUGCCUGUAACUACAAAGAUAUUACUGGACCAGAAGCAGAGUGAGGAACUUCCAUGCAGACAUGACUGCAGAAAAGACUCUUCUGUGAAGAAGAAACUCCAGG
Peromyscus californicus insignis is the source of this 1017-nucleotide long non-coding RNA. RefSeq lists it as uncharacterized. The record is from RefSeq and is a predicted model, not a curated record. The transcript has 3 exons. Lineage: Eukaryota; Metazoa; Chordata; Mammalia; Rodentia; Cricetidae.